GAUGAACGCUAGCGGCAGGCCUAGUACAUGCAAGUCGGACGGGAUUGAGAAGCUUGCUUUUCAUGAGAGUGGCGCACGGGUGCGUAACACGUAUGUAACCUACCUUAAUCAGGGGGAUAGCCUCUCGAAAGAGAGAUUAACACCGCAUAAAAUCAAUUUAUGGCAUCAUAGAAUGAUCAAAUAUUUAUAGGAUUAAGAUGGGCAUGCGGAACAUUAGCUAGUUGGUAAGGUAACGUCUUACCAAGGCUACGAUGUUUAGGGGAUCUGAGGGGAUGAACCCCCACACUGGGACAGAGACACGGACCAGACUCCGACGGGAGGCAGCAGUAAGGAAUAAUGGUCAAUGGGCGCAAGCCUGAACCAGCCAUGCCGCAUGCAGGAAGACAGCCCUACGGGUUGUAAACUGCUUUUGUACCGGAAUAAACCUUUGUAUGUAUACGAAGCUGAAUGUACGGUAAGAAUAAGGAUCGGCUAACUCCGUGCCAGCCGCCGCAGUAA
RNAcentral lists this ribosomal RNA (498 nucleotides) under uncultured bacterium. RNAcentral describes it as "partial 16S ribosomal RNA". It matches the Rfam family "Bacterial small subunit ribosomal RNA", at positions 28 to 523 of the family's 1533-position model. The record is from RNAcentral.